UACGUAGGGUGCGAGCGUUAAUCGGAAUUACUGGGCGUAAAGCGUGCGCAGGCGGUUUUGUAAGCCAGAUGUGAAAGCCCCGGGCUUAACCUGGGAAUGGCAUUUGGGACUGCAAGGCUGGAGUGUGGCAGAGGAGACUGGAAUUCCUGGUGUAGCAGUGAAAUGCGUAGAUAUCAGGAGGAACACCGACGGCGAAGGCAGCUCGCUGGGACGGUACUGACGCUGAGGCGCGAAAGCGUGGGGAGCGAACAGG
RNAcentral lists this ribosomal RNA (253 nucleotides) under uncultured bacterium. Its description in RNAcentral is "partial 16S ribosomal RNA". It matches the Rfam family "Bacterial small subunit ribosomal RNA", at positions 524 to 776 of the family's 1533-position model. The record is from RNAcentral.